UGGCGGACGGGUGAGUAACGCGUGAGAAUCUGGCUUUAGGUUCGGGACAACAGUGGGAAACUGCUGCUAAUACCGAAUGUGCCGUAAGGUGAAAGAUUAAUUGCCUGAAGAUGAGCUCGCGUCUGAUUAGCUAGUUGGUGAGGUAAAGGCUCACCAAGGCGACGAUCAGUAACUGGUCUGAGAGGAUGACCAGUCACACUGGGACUGAGACACGGCCCAGACUCCUACGGGAGGCAGCAGUGGGGAAUUUUCCGCAAUGGGCGAAAGCCUGACGGAGCAAUACCGCGUGAGGGAGGAAGGCUCUUGGGUUGUAAACCUCUUUUCUCAGGGAAGAACAAAAUGACGGUACCUGAGGAAUAAGCAUCGGCUAACUCCGUGCCAGCGGCCGCGGUAAUACGGAGGAUGCAAGCGUUAUCCGGAAUUAUUGGGCGUAAAGCGUCCGCAGGUGGCAAUUCAAGUCUGCUGUUAAAGGUUCUGGCUCAACCAGGAACAGGCAGUGGAAAC
Molecule: ribosomal RNA, 504 nt
Filed under: uncultured bacterium
Lineage: Bacteria
Description: bacterial SSU rRNA
Rfam family: Bacterial small subunit ribosomal RNA
Source: RNAcentral